GAAGACGUUUCUGACACAAAACCCCAGGGGAAUCCACGGAGGAGCUGGGCUGUCAUUACUUAUUAACGGUGGGCCUGAUCCCCAGCCAGGCUGGCCCAGGGAAAUAGCCUGUAGGGAGGCCGGCCUCGCUGCUACCAGGUGGAUUAACACUUUCAGGGCGGGAGGGAGCUGCUUGGGGGGGGGUCAAUUGUCACAUUGUUGCAUGUAAGAGGGGCCAUUCUUUACACAUUAGACACAGGCGCCUUCUUCCUCUGCGUUCCCUCCCCCUCGGCGUCUGCAUUCUUCUCUUCCCUUCUCCUCCUGCCCGCUCUGGUUUUAAGCCAGCAAACCCACAGGAUGUGGGAGACUGCGCUCGCUCACAGGGAAGAGGAAGAUCUGAGAAAGCACACGGCCCGGAACCUGGGGAUGAUGUCUUCGGAGAGGGCCCGAGGAGGCGGGGAGAGGGAGAGGCAGCGGAGCCGCAGCGGGAGCCGGUACAUCCCGGUUGCAGACCGGGAAAGCCUGGCCCUGAGGGUGAAGUCACCGGGAAACGGAGGGUUCUCGGCCAGCAAUAAGGUGCCCACGGGUAUCAGGACGCUGGAGAAGGUCCCUCGCUGCUCCUCGCCACCGCGCUGUUGAAAUGACAUGGCUAUGGAGGAAUCCUUUCGUUCUGCAAGCGUAACCACAGGAAUCAGGAUGAGCGAAUUCCGCUCCCUGGAAACCCGGGGUGGCAUCUGCUUUGUCCGUAGAGCUCCUAAGCCAGAGUUCCAUAGCCUUUCAUGGCCUUCGUGUUGGGGAUCGAAAUAAAGCCCACGGAAUUCUCUGCUGGGAAAGGUGA
Molecule: long non-coding RNA, 817 nt
Filed under: Sus scrofa (pig)
Lineage: Eukaryota; Metazoa; Chordata; Mammalia; Artiodactyla; Suidae
Description: lncRNA (ENSSSCG00055001469.1)
Source: RNAcentral